CGAAAGCCUGACGGAGCAAUACCGCGUGAGGGAGGAAGGCUCUUGGGUCGUAAACCUCUUUUGUCAGGGAAGAAGCUCUGACGGUACCUGACGAAUCAGCAUCGGCUAACUCCGUGCCAGCAGCCGCGGUAAUACGGAGGAUGCAAGCGUUAUCCGGAAUUAUUGGGCGUAAAGCGUCCGCAGGUGGUUAAUCAAGUCUGCUGUCAAAGCGCGAGGCUCAACUUCGUAAAGGCAGUGGAAACUGAUUGACUAGAGUGCGGCAGGGGUAGAGGGAAUUUCCAGUGUAGCGGUGAAAUGCGUAGAUAUUGGAAAGAACACCGGUGGCGAAGGCGCUCUACUGGGCCUGCACUGACACUCAUGGACGAAAGCU
This 370-nucleotide ribosomal RNA is filed under the name uncultured cyanobacterium. RNAcentral describes it as "bacterial SSU rRNA". It matches the Rfam family "Bacterial small subunit ribosomal RNA", at positions 376 to 761 of the family's 1533-position model. The record is from RNAcentral. Lineage: Bacteria; Bacillati; Cyanobacteriota.